Molecule: ribosomal RNA, 875 nt
Filed under: uncultured Gemmatimonadota bacterium
Lineage: Bacteria; Pseudomonadati; Gemmatimonadota
Description: bacterial SSU rRNA
Rfam family: Bacterial small subunit ribosomal RNA
Source: RNAcentral
CAAGUCAAGGGGGCCCAGCAAUGGGCAACCGGCGAACGGGUGCGUAACACGUGAGCAACCUACCGAACUGUGGGGGAUAGCCGGCCUAACGGCCGAGUAAUACCGCAUACGCUUUCAUUGAGGCAUUUCAGUGAAAGGAAACCUACGGGACAGAUCGAGGGGCUCGCGGCCUAUCAGCUAGUUGGCGAGGUAACGGCUCACCAAGGCAACGACGGGUAGCUGGUCUGAGAGGAUGGCCAGCCACAUUGGGACUGAGAUACGGCCCAGACUCCUACGGGAGGCAGCAGUGGGGAAUCUUGCGCAAUGGCCUAACGGCUGACGCAGCGACGCCGCGUGUGGGAUGAAGCUCUUCGGAGUGUAAACCACUGUUGCCCGGGACGAAUAGCUCGAUUAAUCGAGCCUGACGGUACCGGGUGAGGAAGCACCGGCUAACUCCGUGCCAGCAGCCGCGGUAAUACAGGGGGUGCGAGCGUUGUCCGGAAUCACUGGGCGUAAAGGGCGCGUAGGUGGUUUGAUAAGGGUGUGGUGAAAGUCCGGGGCUCAACCCCGGAUCUGCCGUGCCGACUGUCAAACUCGAGGGCUGUAGAGGCAGGCGGAAUUCCGGGUGUAGCGGUGGAAUGCGUAGAGAUCCGGAGGAAGACCGGUGGCGAAGGCGGCCUGCUGGGCAGUUUCUGACACUGAUGCGCGACAGCGUGGGGAGCAAACAGGAUUAGAUACCCUGGCAGUCCACGCCGUAAACGAUGGGUACUAGGUGCCUGGGGGAGCGACCCUCUGGGUGCCGGCGCUAACGCAGGAAGUACCCCGCCUGGGGAGUACGACCGCAAGGUUGAAACUCAAAGGAAUUGACGGGGGCCCGCACAAGCGGUGGAACAUGU